GGUGUAGCUCAGUGGAAGAGUGUUUGCCUAGCAUGCAUGAAGCCCCAGGUUCAAUCUCUGGCACC
Molecule: transfer RNA, 65 nt
Filed under: Heterocephalus glaber (naked mole-rat)
Lineage: Eukaryota; Metazoa; Chordata; Mammalia; Rodentia; Bathyergidae
Rfam family: tRNA
About the family: Transfer RNA (tRNA) molecules are approximately 80 nucleotides in length. Their secondary structure includes four short double-helical elements and three loops (D, anti-codon, and T loops).
Source: Rfam by way of RNAcentral